RNAcentral lists this ribosomal RNA (498 nucleotides) under uncultured bacterium. RNAcentral describes it as "bacterial SSU rRNA". It matches the Rfam family "Bacterial small subunit ribosomal RNA", at positions 21 to 507 of the family's 1533-position model. The record is from RNAcentral.
GGCUCAGGAUGAACGCUAGCUACAGGCUUAACACAUGCAAGUUGCGGGGUAACAUCUGGUAGAGCUUGCUCUUCCAGGAUGACGACCGGCGCACGGGUGAGUAACGCGUAUCCAACCUGGCCCAUACCACGGGAUAGCCCGUCGAAAGGCGGAUUAAUACCGUAUGCUGUCAUUAAGAUGCAUAUAUUGAUGACGAAAGGACUGGCGGUAUGGGAUGGGGAUGCGUCUGAUUAGCUUGUUGGCGGGUAACGGCCCACCAAGGCGACGAUCAGUAGGGGUUCUGAGAGGAAGGUCCCCCACAUUGGAACUGAGACACGGUCCAAACUCCUACGGGAGGCAACAGUGAGGAAUAUUGGUCAAUGGGCGCAAGCCUGAACCAGCCAAGUAGCGUGAGGGAAGACUGCCCUACGGGUUGUAAACCUCUUUUGUUUGGGAAUAAAGUGCGGGACGUGUCCCGCAUUGCAUGUACCAUUUGAAUAAGGACCGGCUAAUUCCGUG